GGCCCCUUAGCUCAGCUGGAUAGAGCACCGGCCUUCUAAGCCGACGGUCGCUGGUUCGAAUCCAGCAGGGGUCGCCA
RNAcentral lists this transfer RNA (77 nucleotides) under Hoeflea sp. BRH_c9. Its description in RNAcentral is "tRNA-Arg". It matches the Rfam family "tRNA". From Rfam's summary of the family: Transfer RNA (tRNA) molecules are approximately 80 nucleotides in length. The record is from RNAcentral. Lineage: Bacteria; Pseudomonadati; Pseudomonadota; Alphaproteobacteria; Hyphomicrobiales; Rhizobiaceae. RNAcentral also lists the same sequence under 2 other names.